UGGAUGCGGGGGCUUCACCGCCUACCAAAUCCUGACAAACUCCGAAUGCCAGUAUUAUGUUUUGCAGCAGUGAGCCGCUGGGUGCUAAUGUCCGGCGACAAAAGAGGAACAACUCAGACCAUCAUCUAAGGCCCCGAAGAAUACACUAAGUUGAACUAACGAUGUGCGACUGCAGCGACAGCUAGGAUGUUAGCUUGGAAGCAGCUAUUCAUUUAAAGAGUGCGUAACAGCUCACUAGUCGAGCGGUUGUGCGUGGAUAAUAAACGGGCAUCAAGUGUAUUGCCGAAGCUAUGGGAUCGAAAGAUCGGUAGGGGAGCAUUCCAUCGACGCAGAAGCCGGAUCGUAAGGUCCGGUGGAGUUUAUGGAAAAGCAAAUGUAGGCAUAAGUAACGAUAAGGCGGGAGAGUAACCCGCCCACCGCAAGACCAAGGUUUCCUGAUCAACGUUAAUCGGAUCAGGGUUAGUCGGGCCCUAAGGGUAAGCCGAAAGGUGAUCUCGAUGGACAAUCGGUUAAUAUUCCGAUACUAGCAUAUACUGCGACGGAGGGACGGAGAAGCGUAAGCUACGCGAACAGACGGAAUUGUUCGUUAAAGGGUGUAGGUAUAUCGAGGAGUUAAUAGCUUUUUGAUGCUGAAACCUGACAGUACCAAGCGGCUACGGCCAAUUGGAUAGUUAGCCCAAGCAAGCUUCCGAGAAAAACUUCUAAGCUUCAGGUAUAUGGUACCCGUACCGUAAACCGACACAGGUGGUCGAGGAGAGUAUCCUAAGGUGCUUGAGUGAAUCACGGAUAAGGAACUAGGCAAAUUAACCCCGUAACUUCGGGAUAAGGGGUCCCCACGCCAGUGGGGCGCAGCGAAGAGGUCCAGGCAACUGUUUAACAAAAACACAGGGCUCUGCUAAUUCGAAAGAAGAAGUAUAGGGCCUGACACCUGCCCGGUGCUGGAAGGUUAAGAGGGGAUGUCAUCGCAAGAGAAGCAUUGAAUCGAAGCCCCAGUAAACGGCGGCCGUAACUAUAACGGUCCUAAGGUAGCGAAAUUCCUUGUCGGGUAAGUUCCGACCUGCACGAAUGGUGUAACGAUCUGGACACUGUCUCAACCGUGAGCUCGGUGAAAUUGUAGUCCCGGUGAUGAUGCCGGGUACCCGCAACGGGACGAAAAGACCCCGUGAACCUUUACUAUAGCUUAACGCUGAAUUUGGGUACACAAUGUGUAGGAUAGGCCGGAGGCUUUGAAGCGGGCACGCCAGUGUUCGUGGAGCCGACGUUGAAAUACGGCCCUUUGUGUAUUUGAGUUCUAACCCUGCGAAGGGGACACCGUUUGGUGGGUAGUUUGACUGGGGUGGUCGCCUCCAAAAGCGUAACGGAGGCUUCCCAAGGUACCCUCAGCACGAAUGGUAACCGUGCGCAGAGUGCAAUAGCAUAAGGGUGCUUGACUGUGAGACAUACAAGUCGACCAGGUGCGAAAGUAGGGUAUAGUGAUCCGGUGGUUCUGUGUGGACUGGCCAUCGCUCAAAGGAUAAAAGGUACUCCGGGGAUAACAGGCUGAUCGCCGCCAAGAGCUCAUAUCGACGCGGCGGUUUGGCACCUCGAUGUCGGCUCGUCACAUCCUGGGGCUGGAGAAGGUCCCAAG
This 1627-nucleotide ribosomal RNA is filed under the name human gut metagenome. RNAcentral describes it as "bacterial LSU rRNA". It matches the Rfam family "Bacterial large subunit ribosomal RNA", at positions 915 to 2569 of the family's 2925-position model. The record is from RNAcentral.